ACGGAAGGCAGCAGUGGGGAAUAUUGGACAAUGGGGGAAACCCUGAUCCAGCGACGCCGCGUGAGUGAAGAAGUAUUUCGGUAUGUAAAGCUCUAUCAGCAAGGAAGAAAAUGACGGUACUUGACUAAGAAGCUCCGGCUAAAUACGUGCCAGCAGCCGCGGUAAUACGUAUGGAGCAAGCGUUAUCCGGAUUUACUGGGUGUAAAGGGAGCGUAGACGGCAAAGCAAGUCUGAAGUGAAAUCCCGGGGCUCAACCCCGGAACUGCUUUGGAAACUGUUUAGCUAGAGUGCAGGAGAGGUAAGCGGAAUUCCUAGUGUAGCGGUGAAAUGCUUAGAUAUUAGGAGGAACACCAGUGGCGAAGGCGGCUUACUGGACUGUAACUGACGUUGAGGCUCGAAAGCGUGGGGAGCAAACAGGAUUAGAUACCCUGGUA
RNAcentral lists this ribosomal RNA (434 nucleotides) under uncultured Lachnospiraceae bacterium. Its description in RNAcentral is "partial 16S ribosomal RNA". It matches the Rfam family "Bacterial small subunit ribosomal RNA", at positions 341 to 792 of the family's 1533-position model. Lineage: Bacteria; Bacillati; Bacillota; Clostridia; Lachnospirales; Lachnospiraceae. The record is from RNAcentral.